Molecule: long non-coding RNA, 623 nt
Filed under: Monodelphis domestica (gray short-tailed opossum)
Lineage: Eukaryota; Metazoa; Chordata; Mammalia; Didelphimorphia; Didelphidae
Description: lncRNA (ENSMODG00000048137.1)
Source: RNAcentral
AUGAACAGACCAGAAAAGUCCAGCGGGUGCGAGGAGGCUCUGCGCGGCCCCGACUGCCGGACGGGAAGAAAAGGCGGCUGGAAAAGCGACAAGCGAGGAAAUGGCUGUAGAAAAACCCGAUGGAUGGCGGAUGGCUCCCACCACGGGCGCGGACCGUCUCUGGGUGACUCGGGCCGGCGAGGAGUUAGGGAGACACCCGGCGGGGGAGAGGAGCAGAGCAGAUCCCAGAACUGGCCACGCCGAUGCAGGAACCCGCCAGGCUGGGCCAGGCCGGCCAGAACCGUCCCUCCGCUUCACACGGGCUCCGCGGCUCCUGGCCAGCUGGUACCCGAGCCACAAAUCCGGGCAGGGAGGAGGCGGAUGAAACUGGAGGAGGAGGAAGUCUGGGGGCUCCAGUGUCAUUGAAGCAACACCAAUUAGACGUCUAUUAUGUGCGCGGCACCGAGCCAGCCCCUGGGGAUGUCCAAGCCCGAGUCUAUGGAAACAUACAGGGAGAGGCCGAAAGACCUCGAUGGGGGGGGGGGGGGGGGGGCUGGGUGGGUGUGUGUGUGUGUGUGUGUCCGGCCGGCCGGGGGGGGCCGGGGGGGGGGGGCUGUGUCUGUGUCUGGGGCCGUGUGGGUGGC